RNAcentral lists this long non-coding RNA (2088 nucleotides) under Marmota monax (woodchuck). Lineage: Eukaryota; Metazoa; Chordata; Mammalia; Rodentia; Sciuridae. The record is from RNAcentral.
GAAAUUUCUAGUCUGGUGAAAACAAAAAACAAACAAAAAAAAAUGCUAACCUAUGAGAAGGAUCAUGGUUGUGCGGGUCUUUGCUGGUGCAAAUGACUGAGUAUCUAGAUGGCAUCAGCAUCUAGGAGGUUGGGAGAAGGGCACAGGGGAUGUCAUGCCAGGUUAUCAGGUCUAAGCAAGACCCUGCUUUCCCCUCCCCACAACCAACCUGUGAUGAUAAAGGGAGGCGUGCUGGUUUUUCCAAGCCAAGACGCUUGGUCUUCUUCAUUCCUGCCUCUGCAUCCAUUGUUCCACCCCUAUUCCUCACUUCCCUCCCAGAGACAUUUAUGCUUCAUUCUGCAUCUUUGCCAGCUCAUCUGCAUGUGUGGACUGGUGAGGCUAGAAAUGAAAGCACUUUAGAAGAGCCCCAAGUGGAGACAGAGAGGCUGGUUGUUACCCUGAGCUCAGCAGGUAACUCCCUGGUCCUUAAGACCUGAUAGGAUUGUCACAGACCAGCAAAUCCAUGGCCUAUGGCAAUACCUCCCCCGCAGCCCUCUCUUGUCUAUGAUUUCCUGGGGGCUUGUUCUGUCCUCGCUCACCUCCUGGGGGCUCCUCUUCCCUGGUGUGUAGGUUCUGAUCUGUCCUGAAUCAGCUUCUCUUUGGAAUGCUCUUGGAAGCCACACUCCCAGACACACUGACCAGUGUGGUAGUUUUACCAACCCUACAAAGGGGGUGGAAUGGGGUCCUGCAUCCAAGUGACACAAACAACCUCCAUCAGAACUGGAAGCCCACUGUUGUGAAUAUGCUUUGGGCACCCUCCACCCCUGUGAUGUCAUUGGCUUUCCUAGUUCCUCCCAGUGUCUCUCCCUUUCUUCCAGCUCCUCCAACUCCCUUUCAGAAGCACAAAUGAUAGGUUCUACCCACAACCCUAGCACACCUGUCCAAGCUUACUUAUCAGGUAUUCUUCAGUGGGCAGCCUCCUCCCUCAGAAGAAUUCUGGUACCACCUAUCAUAAAGAUUUUUUUCACCCUAUUAUACAUUAUUAUGAAAUGUAUGGAAAGCUGGGGGUGCUUUAUAAGUAAGACGACAGUACUGGAUGGUGAUCCGCAGACAGGACAUACUUUCCACCUCACAUACUCUGCAUAGUGUGAAUGUAUGCUGAGGGUGACAGGUAGGUCUGGGGAAAGACUAUGAUCUUGGACUUUCCUGGCAGCCUUGUUCCCAAUCCCAAUGACCUCUUCCAAUGCCAGCUGUCCCUUAUGCCAGCUGUCCCUUGGAAUCCAGGGGGGAGGGUAAGGACUGGCCUUACCGACAUAUUCUGGGUGGGAUGCACAGGUAAGACGAAGGGGUUUUGCUAGUGCAAGUUGUUAGGAAAAGACAGUUGCAAAAUUGAUCAGGUGGCUUUAUCAAUGAACUGGGAAGGUCUAAAAGAAGACUCACAGUUCUUAGUCUCCCCUAAGACGCUUUCCCUUUCUUUUGUUAGGGGGAAAAGGAGGGUCUGCUUUCACACUGACCAGCUGAAUUCUACCCAGGCUAGCUGGGGCCUGGUGAACAGCUAAAUAGAAAAUUAGAGUAAGUUACUUAAAUGUUAGCCACUGAUAUGAGUACAUUGGUUAGUGCCAGGACAAAGCACUUUAAAAAAAAAUUUCCAUUUUCAACCACCAAAGUGUACAUGCCCAUUAUAUAAUAUUCUUGUAGUUCAGAAAGACAUAAAAGGUUAAAGACCCCACUUCUCUCCUUUGUCUCUCUCUACAGUCACUUUUUAGAGGUACCACUUUUGUAGCUUGGUAUAAAUCCUUCUAAGCCUCUUUCUACGAAUAUAUUCUGUUACAUUUUUUUUAAUCAAGCCAAAAUGAAGUCACACAUGUUUAUCAGCAGGUUGUCCUUGGUUCCACCCACACUGUAAUAUAUCGUGAACAUCUUUUGGGUUCAGUGGAUUAUUAUUUUUAAUAGCUAUAGAGUGUCACCAUGACUAUCCUAAUGUAGUAAAUCUCCUACAGAUAAUUAUUUUUCCCCCAUUUUUUUCCUUUACAAACAAUGCUAUAGUAACAGUUCUAGGCCUGUGUCUCUGUGCACAAGCAUGGUCGUUGCAGCAGAAUGGAAUCCUAG